Molecule: ribosomal RNA, 501 nt
Filed under: uncultured bacterium
Lineage: Bacteria
Description: partial 16S ribosomal RNA
Rfam family: Bacterial small subunit ribosomal RNA
Source: RNAcentral
AUUGAACGCUGGCGGCAGGCUUAACACAUGCAAGUCGAGCGGGGGAAGGUAGCUUGCUACCGGACCUAGCGGCGGACGGGUGAGUAAUGCUUAGGAAUCUGCCUAUUAGUGGGGGACAACAUCUCGAAAGGGAUGCUAAUACCGCAUACGUCCUACGGGAGUAAGCGGGGGAUCUUCGGACCUUGCGCUAAUAGAUGAGCCUAAGUCGGAUUAGCUAGGUGGUGGGGUAAAGGCCUACCAAGGCGACGAUCUGUAGCGGGUCUGAGAGGAUGAUCCGCCACACUGGGACUGAGACACGGCCCAGACUCCUACGGGAGGCAGCAGUGGGGAAUAUUGGACAAUGGGGGGAACCCUGAUCCAGCCAUGCCGCGUGUGUGAAGAAGGCCUUAUGGUUGUAAAGCACUUUAAGCGAGGAGGAGGCUACUCUAGUUAAUACCUAGGGAUAGUGGACGUUACUCGCAGAAUAAGCACCGGCUAACUCUGUGCCAGCCGCCGCCGUAA